Small nucleolar RNA from Neoarius graeffei (lesser salmon catfish), 191 nucleotides. RefSeq annotates it as small nucleolar RNA ZL1. The transcript has a single exon. The record is from RefSeq and is a predicted model, not a curated record. NCBI's taxonomy places the organism in Eukaryota, Metazoa, Chordata, Actinopteri, Siluriformes, Ariidae.
ACACACACACACACGUGUGCACACACACACACACACACACGUGUGUGUGUGUGUGUGCACACGUGUGUGUGUGUGUGUGUACACACACGUGUGUGUGUGUGUGUACGGGUGUGUGUGUGUGUACGCACACACGUGUGUGUGUGUGUACGCACACACGUGUGUGUGUGUGUACGCACACACGUGUGUGUGUG